GGGCCCGCACAAGCGGAGGAGCAUGUGGUUUAAUUCGAUGAUACGCGAGGAACCUUACCCGGGCUUGAACGUAAGACGAAUAUAGUGGAAACAUUAUAGCCUACGGGCGUCUUGCGAGGUGCUGCAUGGUUGUCGUCAGCUCGUGCCGUGAGGUGUUAGGUUAAGUCCUGCAACGAGCGCAACCCUUACACAUAGUUGCCAGCAUGUAAAGAUGGGGACUCUAUGUGAACUGCCUACGCAAGUAGAGAGGAAGGUGGGGAUGACGUCAAAUCAGCACGGCCCUUAUGUUCGGGGCUACACACGUGCUACAAUGGCAUGUACAGAGGGCAGCCACCAUGCGAAUGGGAGCCAAUCCUCAAAACAUGUCUCAGUUCGGAUUGGAGUCUGUAACUCGACUCUAUGAAGUUGGAUUCGCUAGUAAUCGCGCAUCAGCCAUGGCGCGGUGAAUACGUUCCCGGGCCUU
Molecule: ribosomal RNA, 463 nt
Filed under: uncultured bacterium
Lineage: Bacteria
Description: bacterial SSU rRNA
Rfam family: Bacterial small subunit ribosomal RNA
Source: RNAcentral